Long non-coding RNA from Brassica oleracea var. oleracea, 734 nucleotides. RefSeq lists it as uncharacterized. NCBI's taxonomy places the organism in Eukaryota, Viridiplantae, Streptophyta, Magnoliopsida, Brassicales, Brassicaceae. The record is from RefSeq and is a predicted model, not a curated record. The transcript has 2 exons.
CACUUUAUAUCUCUCUCUCUUCAUCUAUAUUAUUUUUCAGUCGCCUAAAACCAGAACCAAAGUGAAUCUUCUAUAGCUGCCUCCAAUUACCGAGUUGACUCAGUUAAAAGAAAUCAAAUUAAUGAAGAUAGGAAAUGAAUGGUCGAUUGUGAGGAAACAUAUUAUUUGUAUUUUAAAAUUUAAUUUCAACUCUCUCCUCUCUCAUAUCUCAUUCUCCAGAUUCAAAUUGAGAAAGCAUAGAUAAAUUCUUGAUUACGGAGAAGAGUGAAGGAAGGAAGAUGAGCUGUGUUCAGUCCAAAAAAAAAAGAAGCUGCUACUCGAUGCAAAUGUUACGGCUCAUAACACUUUGGCCCCCGUGUAUUCUCGUUGUUCACAGUCCCAUCGGCGAAUCCAAAUUACAGUGGUGACUCAGUCCUAGUGAUUUGAAUCCAAAUUUCAAAAUUUUCGUUUCAGCAAGAAUGGAAUCUGAUGGACAUGAAUUCAAUAGCUGCUUUAUUCGUCGCUACUGUCGUCAUAUUUGUUUUCCUCCUCUGCUUAGUCGCCACAAUCCAUGUCUCCUUCAUAUAGGGAAUCGUCUCGAGUACUCGGUUUCAUUUACCUCAUUGGCUGGUAGAAUUUUCAUGCUUUGAACCAACAAAAGCUUUCUUCCUUUUGUAUGACCUUGAGAUUUUAGAGAUAACAAUGUUUUUUGACUUGUGUAAAUCAUCAAAGUUGCAAGUGUGUGUUGAGAAUUA